UCUUUUUUUUAGACCAGUGAAGGGGUGGCGGGGGAGCGUAGAGGAACAGCAAGGGGUAAGAGGGUACCAGCGGGGACGAGGAGGAGGGGAAUUACAGUUUAGGCCGGCGCCUUGACCGGCAGCCUCCGCACCCUGAGCGUGUGGGGACGAGAAGGGACGAGGAAGUAGCUUAGGCCAGCGGCUUCACUGGCUCUGCCACGAGCUCGAGCCGUACGAGCGGGCCUGCGGCUCCGAGGAGGGAGGAGGACUAAAUCAUUUGUAGCGGCGGCGGCGGUACUCGGAGAGGUGGGAGAGGGCGCGAGCAGGGUCAAGGUCCAAUGAGAUAGAGAGGCUGGGGCGGCGGACGAGGAGGGGCAGUUAAACCAAGCAGUUGUCCACGUAGUGGAGUGAGGCACGUUACAAGCCUGGGGAUCCCAAUAGACGAGCCCCCGGUACCGCACAAGGCGCACCACGACGGAAGCGGCGGCGGCGGCGGGCCGCCACUCCCGUGACCGAAAACAGAGUACCCAGCGACGGACUGAAGGCCAGACCCCUCUGCCCGAAGUAACCGGUUAUUUAUCCCUGCCCUUCCAGGCUCUGACCUCCAGGGACGAGCGUUUGAGCGUUGGGGCCGUCGAUAAGAUGAUGGUUAUCUUUUUCUAAAGUACUUCCUCUUCUUCUUCCGCGGUUUUCCCUUACCCUCGUUGUUCAGACUUACCUGCCACUCUAAGUUUAAACCUCGUUAUGUAGAACGGGUCAAAGUGGACACCUUUGGGAGAAAAUUCCAGUUCUAGGGAUGUUUCUAGUUUUACUAUCUUCCAGGCCACACGACCGCGAUUACGUUUCGCACCGCGUCUACCCGACCCAGGAGCCGGGUAGCAGGAGUAACAGACGCGGAUGUAGUGGAUGAUGUAGCAACAGGAGUAGAGGCUGAUGAUGGCGAGCGGCCUUGGGUAGGUACCGUUUGCCUUGAUAUGUGUACAUGUACCGGCGGCAGGCGAGGACGGAGCCCGGAUCUCUACAUCGACACACACCGUUACGUGUCAUGUGUCAACAGAUACGUAGUGUCAACCGUGCCCGUAGUACAGACACCACGGGUCGUUGACGGCGGUAAUUUUCCCGGUGCUGCGCUUGACGUCGUCCUACCCCGCUACAUGGACCACUACAAGGCGGAACAGCUCGAGCAGGAGAGUAUCAAGGGCCCGGACCUCUAGCCGGUGGAAACAGAGGUAGUAGCGGCAAUAGUACAGGAAGUGGAUGAGGAAGUAGCGCAAGAAGGACUCACACGCUGGACGCGCGUUCCUAUCCGGUCACCGCCACAUGUCGGUGAACGUAGCCAGCCGCCGGUUUGCUUCCUCGCCACCCACCACUGGACACGCAUUCCUCUCCGGCCGGUCGCCACCGCCCCCGCCUCCGGUUGUGUCUAGUUACCGCUGUUCCCUUUCUCUCCGUUCCGUUCGUAGCUGCCACCGCCCCCUCCUCCCAGUCCGCCGCUGGGAGCUCCCUCAUCCUCGUAGGCCGCCCGUCUCCGUCCACCGUACGCAGCGCCCCAUCAACAAAACUCCGCUAAACUAACGCUAGUCAAAGGACAAAAAUACCGAACGCACUAGCAUCCCGAACGUCUCCACCCUGCCAUCUCAAAAGCAGGCGGCUCCUUUUAACGAUUCGCGUCAAAACGGACUCCCAAUCAGAUUAGAAUUACCAAUCUAGAUUAAUUCAUUAGACUAGUACUCCAACAUUAACCAGGUACUACAAAACACAUCGAAUCCGAUCCACGUGAAUCGUUACUUAUACAAACGAACAAAUUAUCAUCAUAUCUAUUACAGGUAAUGCGGUUGUAUUUGUAGGUACAUGUAUAUGCUACAUCAUCAUAUGCGUGUUUGGUGUGCGUAGAAAGCCGACGAGGAAGUUAUGCUACGAUAGUGUUUGCGUUUGCCACCCAAAACCCACAGGAACACCGAAACUGGUAUUUUAGUGCUAGUUUAGCUACACGUCUAUUAAAAAGGUGGUUAACUGGACGUUAAUGAC
Molecule: ribosomal RNA, 2007 nt
Filed under: Triticum aestivum (bread wheat)
Lineage: Eukaryota; Viridiplantae; Streptophyta; Magnoliopsida; Poales; Poaceae
Description: partial small subunit ribosomal RNA
Source: RNAcentral